RNAcentral lists this long non-coding RNA (533 nucleotides) under Gallus gallus (chicken). The record is from RNAcentral. Lineage: Eukaryota; Metazoa; Chordata; Aves; Galliformes; Phasianidae.
AAUUAACCAAGCUGGUACAGAAGGAAAGAGAUAAAAAGGAAGAUCUUAGAAAAAGGCAGAAGAAAAAAAAAUGUAAAACAUUCCUACCUGUCAUUGAAACGUCCCUGAGAAGGUAUAUUCUGAUGGGGAGAAUAUGGAGAGCCCCCCCAGCCACCAUGAGUUCCAUAAGGACUGUAGUCUGAAAUGAUUGAUUUGGUGGAAGCUCCCUGAACUGCCAUGGCCUGAAUGGGACCAGAAUUCUGGUACAUCGCUUUGGAAGUACGAGAGAUAGCCCCAAAUCUCGACACAGUUGGUCGGUCUCCAAAUGGAAUGAGGUCAUCAUCACCAGCCUCUGCCGCUCUUCUCUGCAUGUCUAAUCGUUGGUCACGCAUGGCUUUACUAUCCACGUUCGCCAUCUCCACACUCCUUGCUGCCACAACAUCUUUGGGUUUUGCAUCUUUGGUUCCAAUGUAGGAGCCGAUGGUGUCACAGGACCAGGGAGAGUACUGGCUGUAGUCAUUUCCUUUGUAUUUCCCAGCUACCUUCAGGUCUUC